Impatiens glandulifera is the source of this 623-nucleotide long non-coding RNA. RefSeq lists it as uncharacterized. The transcript is spliced from 2 exons. NCBI's taxonomy places the organism in Eukaryota, Viridiplantae, Streptophyta, Magnoliopsida, Ericales, Balsaminaceae. The record is from RefSeq and is a predicted model, not a curated record.
CGAAACCCUAGGAAGUUAUCUACACCUAAUCAAUCACUUGCUUUUUAUUGUUGUUGGAGAAAAAAGCGUCAUCUAGUUCGUUCCAGAAUUCUCCAAUUUCUCCACCAUCUCUCUCAUCACUCAACCUCUGCUUUCUAUAUUCUCCAUUCUCCUCUACAGUAAUGAGUCUUUCGCCUUCAUGAAAGCUUGACGAAUCUUGUUUAUCACGUCAUGGACUCUUACAACAGCCUUUUUGCUGCUUCACUGUUCUUCGGCUUGGAAGUUCUAUGUUCACGGAAUAUUCUCUCUAAUUUGAGAACUAGAGAUGGAGGACUGUAUGUUCAGAAUUGCAUAUUUCAGUAACAACAGGUAUGUAAUGUUCAAUAUCGUCCAAUUUCCUGUUAUCUUCUGAAGGUAGUAGAAUUCUGAAACCUUAGUGGCAAACUAUCUGUUUUGGUUACCAAUAUACCUAAUCAGUACAUGAGCAUGAAUACUUAUUUUAGGCCAUUGAAUUACCUUAAAAAAUUACUAUUAACAAUUUGUAUCGAGUUUCAAGGUGUAGAGAGCAUUUAAAAUGCAAAUUCUUGAUCUUGUUGAUAUGUUUUACUGAAAAAUGUGUGCAAUCUUUGUUUUUGGUGGUUUUA